This is a long non-coding RNA of Suricata suricatta (meerkat), 1656 nucleotides long. RefSeq lists it as uncharacterized. The record is from RefSeq and is a predicted model, not a curated record. NCBI's taxonomy places the organism in Eukaryota, Metazoa, Chordata, Mammalia, Carnivora, Herpestidae. The transcript has 4 exons.
GGGCCGCGGCGCGCGGAAGCCACUUUGCACGGUCAGCGCCGGCCACAAGUUUGUUCCUCGGCUCCCGGGGGCCUCCGCGCAGAGGGAGAAUAACGCGGAGGGGGCUGAGAGGAGGGGGAGAGGGGAGGCGCCGAGGGGCAAAAGAGUGGGGAAAAGUGCGAAAAGAAGCAACAGCCGCUCCACCCGGGACCAGAAAAGUGGCCAGCCGCGUCCCGACCGCCCGCCCUGCGCCGGGGAUGCGGCGGCUAACGGUCCAAGGAGGCGGCAGGGGCGGCAGGAGCCGCUAGGCGGAGAGAGACCAGGUCCAUAGUGACUCUGGACAUGGGGUUCACAAAGAGACAAAAGGGGCCCAUGGUCGUUCAACUGCUGCAGUUCCACCACAUUCUACAGUUGCUGAGUCAGGAAGGAAACAUGACUACAGAGUGAUCCAGAACCGACAGCUGUCUUUAGGACCCACACCAGCAUUUCUAAUAAAGCCUCCCAGGAGUUGUUAUUUGAAGAACCAAGUGUGUAUGCAUGAAAACAUUAUGACCAUUUCCUCUUGGUUUAAAUCAACUCCAAGAUAACUGUAAAAAAAUAUGAAAUCCUCACCAAGAAGCCUGUGACUUCCCAAAGACAGUGGAAGAAGCCCUAUGGUUCUAGAGAAACUCAAGACCAAAGCUACUGACGGACUUCCUCACUGAGGAGGCACAGCCUGGAAUAUUCCUCUGAACACUCAAGUCAUGUUGGGAAGAAGAUCAGGUCUUUCUAACUUGCCCAUUAAUGUAUAUGAAUUACUUAAUUCCACAACAUUCUCUGAGUGGCUUCUAUUUGAAAAGAGCUGUAUCAGGAACUGGAAAUGUAAAAACACUGUACAAUGUAGAAGGUAUAAUUGGAUAAGGACAUAAGUUACUACAAUGCAAAAUUAAAUCAGAGGCAGAUUUAGCGUAAAGUGAAUGAAGCUCUAGUGUCAGUGCCUGUUACUUACAUGGGCCCCUUCUGAUGCUCUGGGAGAAACCUUAUGAACCUUUAUGUGGUCAUACAUUUUGGUAAACUUUACCUAAGUGAGAAUUAAAACAAACAAAUGAACAAACUCCAGCUAAACUGUCUACUUUCCCUACUGUUGAAAUGCCAAGGUCAUUUUUGAGUCCCAGAAAACAAAUUGUAUUGAGGACACGUUUAGUUGAGUUUAUUGAAAUAUAUGUAUGGGUCUCAUAAGUACUUUGUUUCAGAAUGACCUGAUUGCCAGCUGCACUCAUGUAGGAGUAAUUCCUAGAAACAUGUUACUCCCCCUGUGCUGGUUCAUUGGGUUCAUAGCUUAUUGGUAUAGAACAGAGGCUUUACCGUGACAGAAACAUGCCUGGUGGCACUCAGCACAGGAAGUAGAUGUGUACUGGAGGAGACACCAGGGUUUGAAGUGUAUGUGGCAAGAAAAUAGUCUGUGGAGAAUUCUUCUAAUCAGACAUGUAAAGCUGUAAAUGGAGGAUUUGGUUCUCAACAGUGCCUGGUCAGGAAUAUUCUUAAUAACACAACAUGAGCCGGUAUUCACUUAUACCUGCACCAGUUUUUCUGAAGCACAACCUGGUGGCAGAACUAUAAGAGUGAGUCCAUCUAUAUGAGAAGUUGUAUAUUCUAUUAAUUCCAAUUAUCAACAAUAAAAAAUGUGACCAGACAUUA